This is a long non-coding RNA of Drosophila mauritiana, 150 nucleotides long. RefSeq lists it as uncharacterized. The record is from RefSeq and is a predicted model, not a curated record. The transcript has 2 exons. Lineage: Eukaryota; Metazoa; Arthropoda; Insecta; Diptera; Drosophilidae.
CAGUUAACCACCAUUGUCUUCAGCAGCACCUGAUCCUGCUGCGGAAUCGCGCUGAAUGUGUCGUUGAUGCCAUUCAGGUGCUCGUAGAUCGGCAGGAUCAGCUUCUUCAUGUAGCGCUGCAUUGAGGGUACAUAAAUUCAUUUAAAAAAA